Long non-coding RNA from Manis pentadactyla (Chinese pangolin), 1218 nucleotides. RefSeq lists it as uncharacterized. The record is from RefSeq and is a predicted model, not a curated record. Lineage: Eukaryota; Metazoa; Chordata; Mammalia; Pholidota; Manidae. The transcript has 2 exons.
CUUGGCAUCCUCAUGCUUCUGCCCUUGGUCUCUUUCUCUGGAAGCUGACUUCUCUUUCUUUACGUGACAGCCACCAUGACAUGAAUGGGGUCCGCUCACCACCAGCGUUCCACCACAGCCAUCUGACAUCUGCUCAUGGAAGGCCCCAUGUCCUUUGCCUUGGAGGACAACUUAAAAAAGACUUCAAGAACUUGAAACAGAUUAAAGGAAAACUACAAGAUGGCCAAAGGGUGGGAAAAUAAGAAAUAAUACUAUUUAAACUGUAGACAAGAGGCCUAAGGUGAUGAAACAGUCACCAAGUAUUUGAGUAGACCCACCCAGUGGACUUGUGCCAAGUUCCUCAUUUUUGAUGAGGGCAAGCAAAAACUGGUUAAAACACAACUUAGGAUGAUAAGUACUGUAGCUACAUUUAUUGAAUGCCAGUAUAUGCUGCAUAAUUAAAUGCCAUUGUCUCUCAUAAUCUACCUGUAACCCUCCUGGUCAACCAGUAACAUGUGUAUCAUUAUCCUCAUGUUUCAGAUGAAGAAACUGACCAAUGCUCAAAGUGAGAAGGUAUGCAAAUGGUAAAGCCCGGGUUCACAUCACAUCCUGAUCUGUAUAUGACACCAAAGCCCAUAUGCUGUGUCCACUACACCGCACUUCUUUUCCAGAAAGUUUCAUGCGCUAAUCGAAAGAAUGUUAUCAAGAAAAUUAGUCUAGAGAUACUAGACAUAAGAUUAACUCAUGGGUACUUUGGAUCAUUAAAUGCAGUCAUACAAAAGAAAGUUGGAUGUGCUGAAAAACCCUAGGGAUUUCUUCUGUCCCUUCAACAUACCAUUAGAAAUCCUUGUCAAGGUUGUAUCUGGCUAUAUUAGAAGAGGUUUUUGACAUGGUAUAUUAUCAUUCUAAAGCCAGUUUAGGCUGUUUUUGGUGAUUGUGACACCCCGUAUUAAAUAUUGAGGCAUAAGAAUCAAAUGCUCAACAAAAAAUGUUUUAAAAUUUGCCUUCUCAACAGCCCAAGAGAUCCGUUUACCUUUCAAUUUGGGUUAUUUAUUUAGAAUGUUAGCAUUUAUCUUGCUUUCUUCAAAUCCAUGGACUGCAUACUUUUUGAGGAUAGAAGCCCUUAGCAUCUAGACAAGGGCAUGAUACACAACGCAUGCUCAUAAAUAUGUGAUUAAUAUUGUGUGAUACAAUAUAACCCUUCAUGAACAGUGUUAAUAAAUAUAGUAUUUAAUUUCA